GCUAAGUGGCUCAGUGGAUAGAGCACUAGUCUUGGAGUCAAGAAAAUCUGAGUUCAAAUCUCACCUCAGACA
This 72-nucleotide transfer RNA is filed under the name Monodelphis domestica (gray short-tailed opossum). It matches the Rfam family "tRNA". Rfam says of the family: Transfer RNA (tRNA) molecules are approximately 80 nucleotides in length. Their secondary structure includes four short double-helical elements and three loops (D, anti-codon, and T loops). The record is from Rfam by way of RNAcentral. Lineage: Eukaryota; Metazoa; Chordata; Mammalia; Didelphimorphia; Didelphidae.